GUGGAGCCAACCUUGAGAUACCACCCUGGCAUGAUUAGAGUUCUAACCUAGGUCCGUUAUCCGGAUCAGGGACAUUGUAUGGUGGGUAGUUUGACUGGGGCGGUCUCCUCCUAAAGAGUAACGGAGGAGCACAAAGGUUCCCUCAGCGCGGUCGGUAUCGCGCAUUAAGAGUGUAAAGGCAUAAGGGAGCUUGACUGCGAGACAGACAUGUCGAGCAGGAGCGAAAGCUGGUCUUAGUGAUCCGGUGGUUCUGUAUGGAAGGGCCAUCGCUCAACGAAUAAAAGGUACGCCGGGGAUAACAGGCUAAUUCCCCCCAAGAGUUCACAUCGACGGGGGAGUUUGGCACCUCGAUGUCGGCUCAUCACAUCCUGGGGCUGUAGCAGGUCCCAAGGGUAUGGCUGUUCGCCAUUUAAAGUGGUACGCGAGCUGGGUUUAGAACGUCGUGAGACAGUUCGGUCCCUAUCUGGUGCGUUCGUUGGAAACUUGAAGGGAGCUGCUCCUAGUACGAGAGGACCGGAGUGGACGUACCCCUGGUGUUCCGGUUGUCACGCCAGUGGCAUUGCCGGGUAGCUAUGUACGGAAGGGAUAACCGCUGAAAGCAUCUAAGCGGGAAGCCCACCCUAAGAUAAGGUUUCCCUGGAUCCUUGAGAUCCCUGAAGGGCCAUCGAAGACUACGAUGUUGAUAGGUCGGGUGUGGAAGCUCAGUAAUGAGUGUAGCUAACCGAUACUAAUUACCCGUGAGGCUUG
This 747-nucleotide ribosomal RNA is filed under the name uncultured gamma proteobacterium HF0770_28K04. RNAcentral describes it as "bacterial LSU rRNA". It matches the Rfam family "Bacterial large subunit ribosomal RNA", at positions 2180 to 2925 of the family's 2925-position model. Lineage: Bacteria; Pseudomonadati; Pseudomonadota; Gammaproteobacteria. The record is from RNAcentral.